GCCCUCCUGGGACUGUGUUUGGGCAGCUUUCAGUCCUCUUCCAGCUUUGGGUGUAGGAGGGGAAGGAAUUGCAAAGGAAUACCCAUGCCCUGCUGGCUUUAGAAGUGGCUAGUGAGUAAAAACCAUAUGC
This 130-nucleotide small nucleolar RNA is filed under the name Anas platyrhynchos platyrhynchos (common mallard). Lineage: Eukaryota; Metazoa; Chordata; Aves; Anseriformes; Anatidae. The record is from RNAcentral.